This 2325-nucleotide long non-coding RNA is filed under the name Phoenix dactylifera (date palm). RNAcentral describes it as "long non-coding RNA (PDAC_LNC000589)". Lineage: Eukaryota; Viridiplantae; Streptophyta; Magnoliopsida; Arecales; Arecaceae. The record is from RNAcentral.
UUUUCAUGCCGUACACAAUGGGCUUGGAGAGAAAGGAAAGAGGCGAUGGUGAUACAUCGAGACAUGCAUCCCUCAUCAAUGUUAGUAAAUAAAUUAAUAUAGUAAGUAGAACAAACGCACGAAUCCUCCUAUCAACACUGCGCGUCUGGAGAAACGAUACCUGAGAGAGAUCUUGAUAUCCACGCAUCUAAAGAGGAGCAAUCACAAUUGGGAGGUAUAAAAAUUUUAGUUUAAAUUUUUGCUUGAGCUUGCUGCAGAAAUUUUUAAUUUCAAAUGUAAAUAGUUCUAAAAGCUACAGAAAAAAAAAUAACAUUAGCCCUAGCAAUGCAACUAAUGAAACUGUUCAUAAAGUUGUCAUUUAGCAUCAAACCUACACAUGUAUGUAUGAAAUAAACUGCCUAAAUGCAAUAUUCCACAAAUUUACAUGAAUAGGAAAGUGAGGUUCACUGUACUGGAAGGUAUAAAUGCUGUACGUCUUGCACUCACUUAAGGCAUGUUCGGUUAUAAGGAAAAAUGAAGAAAAGGUGAAAAAAAAACUUGUUUUCUUGUUCAAAAUCUUGCUUUCUGCUUGCUUGUUCCAUUAAAAAAAAAGAAACAGAGAGGGAACUUUAGAAGUUUAUAACUAAUUUUUCAGAAAAUUUUUCUUUUCUAUGAAAUUUUUUUUUCAUAGUUAUUUUUUUCACCAAACUGCCCUUUAUGUUGUGCAUUUUAAAUUCUCAUAAUUGACUUAGGACCUAAUGUAUGUCUUUACUCCAUCAAAGAAUGAAAGCUACGUCGAACAAAUUCACAAAGCGUGAAAGAAGCACCAAGGAUCACGCGGAAAUCAAAACGUAACCGGGCAAGAGAAAAGCCAUCAUUUCCGGCCAUCAGUUUAUGCUCCAAUGGUCAAAGGAGCGUGCAUGGCUUGGUCGAACGACGUGGAUACUUUGUGGCCAAAAAAACUCAUGGCCUCUUUGUGUCUGUGUGGUCUGGAGACUCUGGGACCAUCUAGGUUUGGGACACAGAAUCCAGGCUUUGAUGUGAAGCAACCAAACUUUAAUUACAAGAGAGUGCGAGCUGAUUGUGAUUUAUUGGAUACCCAAUUUUUGAUGCACAAUAAAUUGCUAAACCAAUCCUGUCGAGGUAAAGAACACAACAACUUUUCUCUGGCUCGUAUGCAUUUCCAAAGUUUCAAUCCAGCCUCAAGGGGAGAAGGUUGCCAGCGGGAAGAAUAAAACUUUCAUAUAGUUCUCCUAUAUUGUUAAGAUAUUACAGUUAAAUGUGUUAAAGAUACGUAUCAUCCUUAAAAUGUUUAUCUCUUAUGCAUUAAUUUUCAUAACAUUCCAAUAUAAAAACCAAUGGUAGAAAUCAUCUGGAAUUUUUUUUACUUUUCUAAUAAACCCAAUUAAAAACAAAAUAUUUAUGAUGUUCAUGCUCCUAAUCUACCAAACCUAAUGGUGACAUGCUUUUUAGGCUCUUAGAUUAUGUAUUGUUGCUGGUUAAAGGGUGGAUAACUUAAAAGUUAUCUAGUUAACCAGCCAAACAUCACUAGGUCAUCCAAAAGUGAAAUAAAUUUAUUUCAUUAAAGAUCCAGAUAAGAUUAUUUCGUAAGAGGGUGAAAUAAAAGCAACCAUAUAAGCUCUUUUUUUUCCUCUCUUUUAUUUUUUUUCACAACUUUAUUCCAUUAACCAUGGGCCCACUAAACAAGCAGGAACUAAUUUUUGCUACCAACUUUAAUCUAUCAUGAAAUGGACUUUUCUUUUUCUUUUUGCUUUUAUCUAUAUGCUAGCUUUUUCAUGGUCCUUGCUUAGAAUUCUCUUAUGCAUAUGUCCCCACGUAAGAAUGUGCUUUUUGGAUUGCUUCUUCUUUUGUAGAAGGAUUGAUCCUGCAACUGGACUGCCUCUUCCAUGGCUGACACAAGAUUAAUUAGUCCAUGUCGUUACAAGGUGGUGGGGGGCAAGUGAGAAAGGUAAUUCAAAGCCUUAACUUACAGAAGCUCACAGGCCGAGUACGUACACGUACCUCGGUACUGGAUUAAGUUGGCGUGGCAGAGAUGGUGGGUCCACUUGAGAUCAAAGAUUUUAAACAUAAGCUCGGAUGCAAAGUCUCACAGGCUCAAGCAUUACACAAGUUAGACUGACUAAGUUGGGCAGCUUCGCUAACAAUUCUUGGCGUGGCCCGAGUUGUAAAUUUUUUUUACUGUCGAUGAAUGUAAAUAAUUUUAAUAGGCUAAAAAAAAAUUGGUGAGAUUUCUCUGGAUCAAGUUCGCGGCUAGCCGAGUUUGUAAAAAACUUUUACAACCGAUGUAUAUAAAGAAUUUUAAUAGGUCGAAAAAAUAUUGGUGAG